GUGGUACAAUGGAUCACAGUGCCUGGCUGUUAACCAGGAGGUUGGUGGUUCAAGCCCACCAACU
Molecule: non-coding RNA, 64 nt
Organism: Podarcis lilfordi (Lilford's wall lizard)
Lineage: Eukaryota; Metazoa; Chordata; Lepidosauria; Squamata; Lacertidae
Source: the annotation of a GenBank genome assembly